UACGGAGGGGGCUAGCGUUGUUCGGAAUUACUGGGCGUAAAGCGAACGUAGGCGGCUUUGUAAGUUAGAGGUGAAAGCCCGGGGCUCAACCCCGGAAUUGCCUUUAAGACUGCAUCGCUUGAAUCGCGGAGAGGUGAGUGGAAUUCCGAGUGUAGAGGUGAAAUUCGUAGAUAUUAGGAAGAACACCAGUGGCGAAGGCGGCUCACUGGACCCGUAUUGACGCUGAGGUGCGAAAGCGUGGGGAGCAAACAGG
RNAcentral lists this ribosomal RNA (253 nucleotides) under uncultured bacterium. RNAcentral's name for it is "partial 16S ribosomal RNA". It matches the Rfam family "Bacterial small subunit ribosomal RNA", at positions 524 to 776 of the family's 1533-position model. The record is from RNAcentral.